AGAGCGCCAAGAAGCAGCCCAGGCGAUCCCAAGGCGCACAAGUGCUCUCACCAGGCUGCGCGCUGGCGGGUCGGUGCACAGGGACGGGGUCGCCGCCCACGCGCGCUUGGUUCAGGGAGCCCAGGCUGUCCCUACCCGCGGCUACAAAAGCUCGCCGAGUCUUCCUGUCCACCCAAUCGCCCCACAUGUCAGCGGUUGGUCGCCUCGCGGUGCAGUGCUGGGCACGCGAGCCCCUCCCGCAGUCAUUCUCAGCACAAGCACCAGCCUGGAGCCCCGCAGCGACAGAGCUGAGAGCCCCCAAGCCGCAGAGGUCGUGCGGAGCAGAAGAAACACACGUGUUCUUGUGUGUAAACCCAGUCCAUGGAAGAGACCGUCUGCUUGUCCCUCCUGAUCUCUGGGCCCAGACAACCAGUAGUCACCAUUCCAAGUGAGGGGUGGCUGCAACUCUACAGCCCCGUUCGUCUCUCCUCACUGUCAAAGCUGCUGAGACCCCAGACUCGACACUUGAAAGAAACCCAUGUCUGUGAAGCACUUGUGGACCAUUCAAGAUUGUGGAAGAAUCACUCAAGAGAAGGAGAUAGGAGACGGCUGCUGCUGUUCCAGUCUCUCCUUAGGCAGACUUGAGUUUCUACCCACUCUUCCCAAGCAGCCGCCCCUCCGCACCCGAGCGAGCCAAAGACCUGGCGGGCUGAGUACUCACUGCGCGCUGGACACAUGCUGAGCCGGCACUGCAGGGACACAGGGCGAGCCGCUGGAUGCAGACCUGUGGCCGCGGCAGUUGGGCUUAUCUUGCCCAUGAAGUUGCCUCUGAAGAACCAAGUCCAACUGUGUAUGCUGAGAGAUGUCUGGCUACUUCCUGAUUGACAGUUCUGGCAAGGUGGCAUUGGGCCCUGGCUUUUCCUCUGGAGGCAUCAUCACUUAUAGGAAAAUGUCCCCUGAAGUCCAAGGAUCAAAGCUGCUGGAACACUGAGAAGCUGAACAAAGGAGAACUGUUUCUCAUCAAACCCAGACUUCCAGACUUCCAAUAGGGUAGAAUGAGCAAGUCAGCAAAUCAUCUUCCUUGGAAACAGUGAUAAAACUAGAUGACAUUGUCAACAACAGCCAUUUCAGAAAUCUAGAAAAUGACCAAAGGCAAACAACAAACUGAGAAGCAUUUUUUUUUCCAUGAAAAAUCGCUCUAUUUCUGCAAAAAUAGUGGGAGUCUAUGGCUUCUCAUCCAGGGCUGUUUCUCUCCCCACCCCAGCUCAGUCAGUACAAAGGUUCUGGCAGCAUGAGGCAGACUGAACAGACCUGAAGUUUGAUUGCUGGAAGAAACUGACUCCAGGUUUGGCAGAGGGUGAGAAACCUACUCCCAGCCAUGUUGUCUGGUGACACAGUGACCUUAGGGACAAGUGAAUAGGGAAGGCCAGUGAUUCAUUAACCUGAGGUUGCAGUCCUGGUUGGGGAAAGCAUCAGAAUGGCAGAUAAGCUAGAAAUUUAGUAGGGAUAUGCUGGAAAUGAGACAACCCCAAAGGGGCUUGACCCCAAAGUUGUCCACACACCCCAGCUGCCUUCUGAGCAGAUGUAGGGAGAGACCAGAGAAGGCCUAGGCUAUCCACACAUCUCUGGCUAACCCAGGCUGUAAACCUGUGGAGGAGACACAAGAGGUGGAUUGAUUGCUAAUGGGCAUAUGGGGGAUCUUACUGGUUGAUAGGAACAUUCUCAAAUUGGAUUGUGGUGAUGCUUGCACAACUCUAAGUUUAUCCCAAAUUGCUAAAUUUUACACUAAAAAGGGGUGAACUUUAGGGUAUAUAAAUUAUACA
Homo sapiens (human) is the source of this 1802-nucleotide long non-coding RNA. Ensembl annotates it as IL12A antisense RNA 1. Its record names the gene IL12A-AS1. The record is from Ensembl. Lineage: Eukaryota; Metazoa; Chordata; Mammalia; Primates; Hominidae.